This 634-nucleotide ribosomal RNA is filed under the name uncultured bacterium. RNAcentral describes it as "bacterial SSU rRNA". The stretch from base 1 to 536 matches the Rfam family "Bacterial small subunit ribosomal RNA", at positions 338 to 873 of the family's 1533-position model. The record is from RNAcentral.
CCUACGGGAGGCAGCAGUAAGGAAUAUUGGACAAUGGGCGAAAGCCUGAUCCAGCCAUGCCGCGUGAAGGAUUAAGGCCCUCUGGGUUGUAAACUUCUUUUAUAGGGGACGAAAAAAGGGAAUUCUUUCCCUCCUGACGGUACCCUAUGAAUAAGCACCGGCUAACUCCGUGCCAGCAGCCGCGGUAAUACGGAGGGUGCAAGCGUUAUCCGGAUUCACUGGGUUUAAAGGGUGCGUAGGCGGGUAGGUAAGUCAGUGGUGAAAUCUCGAAGCUUAACUUCGAAACUGCCAUUGAUACUAUUUAUCUUGAAUAUUGUGGAGGUUUGCGGAAUAUGUCAUGUAGCGGUGAAAUGCUUAGAUAUGACAUAGAACACCUAUUGCGAAGGCAGCAGGCUACGCAUAUAUUGACGCUGAGGCACGAAAGCGUGGGGAUCAAACAGGAUUAGAUACCCUGGUAGUCCACGCCCUAAACGAUGAUUACUCGACAUUUGUGAUACACUAUAAGUGUNUGAGNGAAGACAUAAGUAAAUACCACCUGGAAGGAACGACCGAACGAAGGUUAGUUAAAGUUAAAAGUAAAGUUAGUUACGGCGUUGAGACGUGCCGACGGACGACGACGAGGGGAGGUUAGGAG